This 699-nucleotide long non-coding RNA is filed under the name Homo sapiens (human). Its description in RNAcentral is "HSALNT0365071". Lineage: Eukaryota; Metazoa; Chordata; Mammalia; Primates; Hominidae. The record is from RNAcentral.
AGCUCUUUAUCAUCAUAAUUUCUGAUGUAAAGAGCAUGAUGCCAUGGACAAAAUGGGCCCUCAGUGACUAUCCGAUGCAGGGCCAGGCACUGAAUGCAGAUGCAUAUACUGGAGCUCAGAGGAUUUCAGUGAGUUACCCCGGCCACAGCCAGUGAGCAGCGAUGUCAAGAUGUCUUGAAUCCUGGGCCUCAGCUGCAAAGCCGUAACCAGUCCUCUGUGUUCCCAUGGGCCAGUGCUUUACAAAGGUCCUUGCAGAGAAUCAUGCCAGGUUAGGCUGGUGGUCCCAGAGGAGGAUAAGAGGCUUAUGGAGCAGAGUUGCCUAAUCAGGCCCAGCCAAGAUCAGCAGACCCUCAACCAAUACAUAGACACACGAACCAGAUAAAUGGUUUUGUUAUUUGCCACUGAGAAAUGGUUCAUCCCUAGAAGAUUGUGGUAUUUCUGGCCAUACGCAGGAAAGGUGCCACAGAUGCUCAAGUAUAGGCAUCAGCUACCACCCCAUCUGCUGGUGGUGCUCAUACUUCUCCGGGAUACCUCCCCUCCAGUCUCCUCCACCCCUACAGGGUCAGCACUGCUCUUAAGCCUUGAAGUGUCACAUCUGCAUGGCAGCUGCCAGCAAAAGGGAGAAAAAUCUCUGUAUCCCUUCAGGUGACACUAGUUGCUGUAUGGAUAAACACCUAAAUCUCACUUGGCUGAACACAA